UCCUACACCAGGUACAGCAGCACCUGAUGCC
RNAcentral lists this non-coding RNA (31 nucleotides) under Homo sapiens (human). Lineage: Eukaryota; Metazoa; Chordata; Mammalia; Primates; Hominidae. The record is from RNAcentral.